GCGCCCGUAGUUCAGCUGGACAGAACGCCGGCUUGCGGAGCCGGAGGUCACAGGUUCGAAUCCUGUCGGGCGUA
Molecule: transfer RNA, 74 nt
Filed under: bacterium
Lineage: Bacteria
Also listed under: 1 other name
Description: tRNA-Arg
Rfam family: tRNA
About the family: Transfer RNA (tRNA) molecules are approximately 80 nucleotides in length. Their secondary structure includes four short double-helical elements and three loops (D, anti-codon, and T loops).
Source: RNAcentral